This 433-nucleotide ribosomal RNA is filed under the name uncultured bacterium. RNAcentral describes it as "partial 16S ribosomal RNA". It matches the Rfam family "Bacterial small subunit ribosomal RNA", at positions 29 to 507 of the family's 1533-position model. The record is from RNAcentral.
AACGAACGCUGGCGGCAUGCCUAACACAUGCAAGUCGAACGAUGCCUUCGGGCAUAGUGGCGCACGGGUGCGUAACGCGUGGGAAUCUGCCUUUCGGUUCGGAAUAACUCAGGGAAACUUGAGCUAAUACCGGAUAACGUCGCAAGACCAAAGAUUUAUCACCGAAAGAUGAGCCCGCGUAGGAUUAGCUAGUUGGUGAGGUAAAGGCUCACCAAGGCGACGAUCCUUAGCUGGUCUGAGAGGAUGAUCAGCCACACUGGGACUGAGACACGGCCCAGACUCCUACGGGAGGCAGCAGUGGGGAAUAUUGGACGAUGGGCGAAAGCCUGAUCCAGCAAUGCCGCGUGAGUGAGGAAGGCCUUAGGGUUGUAAAGCUCUUUUACCCGGGAAGAUAAUGACGGUACCGGGAGAAUAAGCCCCGGCUAACUCCGUG